RNAcentral lists this ribosomal RNA (1670 nucleotides) under Hippocampus nalu. Its description in RNAcentral is "16S ribosomal RNA". It matches the Rfam family "Bacterial large subunit ribosomal RNA". The record is from RNAcentral. Lineage: Eukaryota; Metazoa; Chordata; Actinopteri; Syngnathiformes; Syngnathidae.
UACCUUAAAACUAGCUUAAAUAUCUAAAAUCAAUUGAAAAAUUUAAAUAACCCCUUAAACCAUAAAAUGAAAUAAUAAAACAUUCUCACCCCAUAGUAAAGGAGAUUAAAAAGGAUUAUUAAAGCUAUAAAAUUAGUACCGUAAGGGAAAGUUGAAAAAGAAAUUAAAAAAUUCAUUUAAGUUAAUAUAAGCAAAGAUUAAAUCUUGUACCUUUUGCAUCAUGAGUUAACAAGACACUUCAAGCAAAAAGAUUUUUAGUUUGAAACCCCGAAAUUAAACGAGCUACUCCGAGACAGUUAGUAAUUUGAACAAACCCAUACCUGUGGCAAAAGGUUGGGGUGAGCUCCGAGUAGAGGUGAUAAACCAAACGAGUUUAGUUAUAGCUGGUUGCCUGAAAAAUGAAUAGUAGUUCAGCCUGUUUUAAAUCUUAGAUUACAUAAAAUUAUAUUUAAAAAUUUAAUAAAAAAUACAGAGUUAAUCAAAAGAGGUACAGCUCUUUUGAUCAAGGAUACAACCUUUUAAAAUGGUUACAAAUCAUGUAAACAUAUAUAAAUGUUUUUGUGGGCCCGAAAGCAGCCAUCAAACAGAAAGCGUUAAAGCUCAAACACAAAAAUUUUAAAUACCGAUAAAUAAAUUAUAAACCUUUAACUAAAAUCAGGCUAUUCCACAACACUGGAAAUAAUAAUGUUAAUAUGAGUAAUAAGAGAAAUAUGAUUCUCUCCUAGCAAAAGUGUGCAUCGGAUCGAACUAACACCGAAUAUUAAUGACCCGUAAUAAAAGAAGGCAGUGUUAAAAAAAUUAAAAACAAGAAAAACUAACACCUAAACACCAUCAACCCAACACAGGAUUGCUAACCAGGAAAGACUAAAAGGUUAAGAAGGAACUCGGCAAAUCAAAUACAGCCCCGCCUGUUUACCAAAAACAUCGCCUCUUGCUAAACAAGAAUAAGAGGUCCCGCCUGCCCUGUGACACAAUGUUUAACGGCCGCGGUAUUUUGACCGUGCAAAGGUAGCGCAAUCACUUGUCUUUUAAAUAAAGACCUGUAUGAAUGGCAUAACGAGGGCUCAACUGUCUCCUUACCCCUGUCAAUGAAAUUGAUCUCCCCGUGCAGAAGCGGGGAUUACCCCAUAAGACGAGAAGACCCUGUGGAGCUUUAAGCAAAAAUGAUUUAUUAGAAGUAUAUUGUAAAAACCUAUAAAAUUAAAUAAAAAUCACUAUAUGCUUUCAGUUGGGGCGACCGUGGAGAACUAUAAAACCUCCAUGAGGAUUGAGGUAAUAAACCUUAAAACCAAGAAAAGCAAUUCUAAAUAUUAAAAUAUUUAACCUAAAGAUCCGGUAGUACCGAUCAACGAACCUAGUUACCCCAGGGAUAACAGCGCAAUCCUUUUUAAGAGCCCAUAUCGACAAAAGGGUUUACGACCUCGAUGUUGGAUCAGGAUAUCCUAAUGGUGCAGCAGCUAUUAAGGGUUUGUUUGUUCAACAAUUAAAAUCCUACGUGAUCUGAGUUCAGACCGGAGUAAUCCAGGUCAGUUUCUAUCUAUGUAUUCUCCUUUUUUAGUACGAAAGGAUCAAAAAGGAGGGGCCUAUGUUUUAAAACAAGCCCUAUUUUUAAACCUUGAAAAAAUAUAAAAGGUUAAAAAAAUAUAAAAAACAGCUAAAUAUAAUAACAA